UGUUCCCCUGGUCUCAGGACGAACGCUGGCGGCGUGCCUAAUACAUGCAAGUCGAGCGAACAGAGAAGAAGCUGGCUCCUUUGACGUUAGCGCCGACCGGGUGAGUAACACGUGGGCAACCUACCUUAUAGUUUGGGAUAACUCCGGGAAACCGGGGCUAAUACCGAAUAAUCUGUUCCACCUCAUGGUGGAACACUGAAAGACGGUUUCGGCUGUCGCUAUAAGAUGGGCCCGCGGCGCAUUAGCUAGUUGGUGAGGUAACGGCUCACCAAGGCGACGAUGCGUAGCCGACCUGAGAGGGUGAUCGGCCACACUGGGACUGAGACACGGCCCAGACUCCUACGGGAGGCAGCAGUAGGGAAUCUUCCACAAUGGGCGAAAGCCUGAUGGAGCAACCCGCGUGAGUGAAGAAG
This 413-nucleotide ribosomal RNA is filed under the name Lysinibacillus sphaericus. RNAcentral describes it as "bacterial SSU rRNA". It matches the Rfam family "Bacterial small subunit ribosomal RNA", at positions 1 to 413 of the family's 1533-position model. Lineage: Bacteria; Bacillati; Bacillota; Bacilli; Caryophanales; Bacillaceae. The record is from RNAcentral.